Molecule: ribosomal RNA, 1286 nt
Filed under: metagenome
Description: bacterial SSU rRNA
Rfam family: Bacterial small subunit ribosomal RNA
Source: RNAcentral
UAGCUAGUUGGUGAGGUAAAGGCUUACCAAGGCGACGAUCUGUAGCGGGUCUGAGAGGAUGAUCCGCCACACUGGAACUGAGACACGGUCCAGACUCCUACGGGAGGCAGCAGUGGGGAAUUUUGGACAAUGGGGGCAACCCUGAUCCAGCCAUGCCGCGUGAGUGAAGAAGGCCUUCGGGUUGUAAAGCUCUUUCGGCCGGGAAGAAAUCGCAUGGGUCAAUACCCUGUGUGGAUGACGGUACCGGAAUAAGAAGCACCGGCUAACUACGUGCCAGCAGCCGCGGUAAUACGUAGGGUGCGAGCGUUAAUCGGAAUUACUGGGCGUAAAGCGUGCGCAGGCGGUUUUGUAAGACAGGCGUGAAAUCCCCGGGCUUAACCUGGGAACUGCGUUUGUGACUGCAAGGCUAGAGUACGGCAGAGGGGGGUGGAAUUCCACGUGUAGCAGUGAAAUGCGUAGAGAUGUGGAGGAACACCAAUGGCGAAGGCAGCCCCCUGGGUCGAUACUGACGCUCAUGCACGAAAGCGUGGGUAGCAAACAGGAUUAGAUACCCUGGUAGUCCACGCCCUAAACUAUGUCAACUAGGUGUUGGGUGGGUAAAACCAUUUAGUACCGUAGCUAACGCGUAAGUUGACCGCCUGGGGAGUACGGCCGCAAGGUUAAAACUCAAAGGAAUUGACGGGGACCCGCACAAGCGGUGGAUGAUGUGGAUUAAUUCGAUGCAACGCGAAAAACCUUACCUACCCUUGACAUGCCAGGAACUUGCCAGAGAUGGCUUGGUGCCCGAAAGGGAGCCUGGACACAGGUGCUGCAUGGCUGUCGUCAGCUCGUGUCGUGAGAUGUUGGGUUAAGUCCCGCAACGAGCGCAACCCUUGUCGUUAAUUGCCAUCAUUUGGUUGGGCACUUUAACGAGACUGCCGGUGACAAACCGGAGGAAGGUGGGGAUGACGUCAAGUCCUCAUGGCCCUUAUGGGUAGGGCUUCACACGUCAUACAAUGGUCGGUACAAAGGGUUGCCAAGCCGCGAGGCGGAGCCAAUCCCAGAAAGCCGAUCGUAGUCCGGAUUGCAGGCUGCAACUCGCCUGCAUGAAGUCGGAAUCGCUAGUAAUCGUGGAUCAGCAUGUCACGGUGAAUACGUUCCCGGGUCUUGUACACACCGCCCGUCACACCAUGGGAGCGGGUUCCGCCAGAAGUAGGUAGCCUAACCGCAAGGGGGGCGCUUACCACGGCGGGGUUCGUGACUGGGGUGAAGUCGUAACAAGGUAGCCGUAGGGGAACCUGCGGCUG